UUGAAGGUGAAGGAGCUCAAG
RNAcentral lists this non-coding RNA (21 nucleotides) under Arabidopsis thaliana (thale cress). The record is from RNAcentral. Lineage: Eukaryota; Viridiplantae; Streptophyta; Magnoliopsida; Brassicales; Brassicaceae.